CCGCGGUCAUCUACGCAUAUGGAGAAAUGCAUGCCAAAUACAUACAUGUAUUUAUGUUUAUGUUUAUUGUUUAUAAGUAAAGGUUAAUAAGUGAUUAAGUAUGGUAUAACGGUACAAAAAUUAGAUAUCUGCGUCGUUCGUCGUCUGGUCUCGCACACAACCUUUUACGUCGGAGGUUGGAUAGAAACUCCCUUCGGCACUCUCUCGCCGAUCGGUUGUCCGCUCUCGCUCUCAUCUCGCCCUCCUUCGUCUUCUCUUUGCGUUUGCUCUCUUGUUUGGAAUUCGCAGUGAUGCGAAUUCGCCCUUGCUCAUUUUGGUGUUUUGUCUAGGGAUCGCAAUUGGCAAAACCCAGCUCACAUCCGGCCGUCCUGACUAUGCACUCGCCUCGAAUGCAUCGUCGCUAUCGUCGUCAUUGCUCGUGGACCAUGGCUUCAGGUACUCCGCACACGAAGAGGAGUGCUUUGGACCAUCGGAAUUGCCAACUUUUUUGACGUCGUAAGCAUUGUUAUGCUUCACCUUAAUGAUCUGGUAAGGACCCAAAAACUUUGGCUUAAGUUUGAGUCCGCUUCCAAACUGAGUCCUCUUUAUAGCAACUAGGUCGCCAACGUCGUAAUGUCUGGGUGGUUUACGUCGCAAGUUAUACGUCUUCUUGUUCUCGGCUUGCAGAUUCAGAAUUUGAGUUUUCGCUUUAGCCCGUAGCUCAUUGCGGUCGUCUUCAAAUGCAAUGAUGGACUCCUUCUGGAUCAAACUCUGAAGCUGCUGGUCAUCUUUGGUGCGCAUCUUGAUACCCAUCAUAAGCUCGAAAGGAGUUGUAUCGAUGCUUCUGGUGUACGUCGAGUUUAUUGCUCGCUGGACUCGAUCUACGUGCUUAAACCAUUUGGAUGGAUCGUCUACACUGAGCUUGGCUAGCACGGAGAUGAUCACUGAGUUGAGCCUUUCCACCUGCCCGUUUACCCGUGGCAGUCCGGUAGUCGUCUUCACCAGUUUAAUUUUUUCGUCUUCGCAGUACUGUAGGAAAUCUUGUGCGGUAAACGCCGAGCCUCUAUCUGAAAUGAUACAAACAGGGUUGCCAAACGUCACGCUUUGGCUGCGUAACUUUAAUAUGACCUCGUUAGAUGUAGUAGACUUUGUAGGGUAUAGCCAGCAAAACUUCGUGAAAGCGUCGAUAACAACAAGUAUGUGUUUGUAGCUCUUUCUGGUUGACUCCAGUGGACCCAAAAAGUCGAUGUGAUAGGUCUGCAGCGGCACGUCAUAUUUUUGCAGGGGGUUCAAAAGACCUUCUUGUUUACCACGCUUGCGAUUUACUAAUAUGCAAGGUAUGCAACAAUCGAUGUACUUCUUGAUUUUGUCGUNUUAAGUUUGAGUCCGCUUCCAAACUGAGUCCUCUUUAUAGCAACUAGGUCGCCAACGUCGUAAUGUCUGGGUGGUUUACGUCGCAAGUUAUACGUCUUCUUGUUCUCGGCUUGCAGAUUCAGAAUUUGAGUUUUCGCUUUAGCCCGUAGCUCAUUGCGGUCGUCUUCAAAUGCAAUGAUGGACUCCUUCUGGAUCAAACUCUGAAGCUGCUGGUCAUCUUUGGUGCGCAUCUUGAUACCCAUCAUAAGCUCGAAAGGAGUUGUAUCGAUGCUUCUGGUGUACGUCGAGUUUAUUGCUCGCUGGACUCGAUCUACGUGCUUAAACCAUUUGGAUGGAUCGUCUACACUGAGCUUGGCUAGCACGGAGAUGAUCACUGAGUUGAGCCUUUCCACCUGCCCGUUUGCCCGUGGCAGUCCGGUAGUCGUCUUCACCAGUUUAAUUUUUUCGUCUUCGCAGUACUGUAGGAAAUCUUGUGCGGUAAACGCCGAGCCUCUAUCUGAAAUGAUACAAACAGGGUUGCCAAACGUCACGCUUUGGCUGCGUAACUUUAAUAUGACCUCGUUAGAUGUAGUAGACUUUGUAGGGUAUAGCCAGCAAAACUUCGUGAAAGCGUCGAUAACAACAAGUAUGUGUUUGUAGCUCUUGCUGGUUGACUCCAGUGGACCCAAAAAGUCGAUGUGAUAGGUCUGCAGCGGCACAUCAUAUUUUUGCAGGGGGUUCAAAAGACCUUCUUGUUUACCACGCUUGCGAUUUACUAAUAUGCAAGGUAUGCAACAAUCGAUGUACUUCUUGAUUUUGUCGUCUAAAUUUGGUAUGUAAUACUCCUUGCAGAUUAACUCUUUCGUCUUCUUGAUAGCAAAGUGUCCUCUAUCGUGAGCCUUGCCGAUGAUAGUUUUCUGCAUAUCCUUUGGAAUCACCAUCAGUUCCACAUCUUUGACUAAUUUAUAGAGGAUUCCUGACUUUAUAAAGUAGUCUUCGUAUGGUUGGCUGUCGUCGUUGAUAAGCUUCAUGAUCGUCUUCAAGUGUUCGUCUAGUUUUUGCGCCUGUUCUAUGCCAACUAAAAUGCUUCCGUCGUUUAUGGACAUAAUGGGAUAUCGUGAAAGUGCGUCUACAUGGCGCAUUCGGGAUCCUGCGCGAUGCUCGACUUCGUAGUUGUACUCCUGCAAAAGCAUUUUCCAUCUUGCCACCCUUGUACACAGAUUCUGCUUCUCUAGUGUUUUGGUGAACACGUUGCAGUCCGUUAUAAUCUUAAAUGGAAUACCCAAAAGAUAAACUCGAAACUUCGUCAAUGCUUCAAUCACCGCAAGUAUUUCCAACUCAUAGCUCGUGUAUUUUCGUUGUGCAUCUGUCGUCUUCUUACUCAUGUAAUACACUGGAUGUAAGUGCCCAUCGUCUGGUGAUUUUUGCAUAAGCACGGCUCCAAAUCCAUCUAUAGAUGCAUCCGUAUGGAGCUCUGUCUCGUACUGCUGAUUGUAAAUGGCAAGCACUGGGUUUGAUGUCAAACAUUUCUUCAACACUCCAAUAGCGUUCUCUUCGUCUGGGCCAAUUACAAACUUAUCAUUGUUCUUCGUUAGGUCAGUCAAUGGUUUGGCUAUCACCGCGUAAUUGUAGAUAAACUUUCUAAAGUAUCCUGCAAGACCCAAAAAACUCUGAUGCUGUUUCAGGGUCUGCGGCGUCUUGAACUUCGAAACGGCUUCAAUCUUCAAUGGUGUCGGAUAUAGUUUCUUGUUCUCGAUAAUAUGGCCAAGAAACUGGAUUCGUGUUUGUAAAAAAUGACACUUUUUAAAAUUCAGCUCUAGCCCAUAUUCUUCGUACGUCUUGAGAACUUCUUUCAGGUUUGCUAGGGCUUCUAGCUAGUCUUUGGCUGGGAUAAUUACGUCGUCAACAUAUGGUAGUGCUAUACCUUUUCUAGUCAGUGAUCGAAAUAUUGCGCCAAUAUGUCUUUGGAAUACUCCUGGGGAACUCGACAAACCAAAUGGGACCUUGCGAAACUGGUAUUGUCCGCUUUGCGUCACAAAUGAGGUGUACUUCCUACUCUCUUCGGCCACAGGAACAUGGAAAAACCCAUUUUUCAAGUCAAUCGUACUGAAUACUACAGCGUCCUGCAAACGAUCUAGCUGGUCAUCUAUCAACGGCAAUGGGAAAUGAUCUUUUUCGAUGACUUUAUUGAUGCGUCUGAAGUCAAUACAUAGACGUUGCUUGCCGUCAUUCUUUUUUACUAGUACAACCGGACUCGUGAACUCGGAUUCUGAUUCUUCAAUUACCUCAUUCUGCAGCCAUUCAUCAACCUGGUCUUCUAUGAUACGUGUUUCAGUCAUAGCAAACCGCCGCGGCCGCGAGAAAAUUGGCGUUUCGUCUUUAAGAAUUAUUUUCAUUUCAAUGUUUGUUGUUUUUGAUUUUUCCGGUUUAUACGUCGUUACUAUUUCGAGAACUUCUUUUCGUGUAAU
Molecule: long non-coding RNA, 3800 nt
Filed under: Drosophila guanche
Lineage: Eukaryota; Metazoa; Arthropoda; Insecta; Diptera; Drosophilidae
Source: RNAcentral